CUUGGUCCUUGUGGUCCAUUGCUUUGUCCAUUUGGUCCAUUUUGUCCAAGUGGGCCGUUAGGUCCUAGUGGUCCAUUUGGUCCUAGUGGUCCAUUUGGUCCGAGAGGACCGUUUGGUCCGAGUGGACCAUUUUGUUCGUAUGGUCCAUUGUUUUGUCCGUUAUUGGGUCCACUUGUUGAACUUGCUGAAGCAGUGGCUGAAGCAGCAGAUGCUCCUGGUCCUUGUGGUCCGUAUGGUCCCUGAAGUCCAUUGUUUGGUCCUUGUGGUCCAUAGCUUGGUCCUUGUGGUCCAUUGCUUUGUCCAUUUGGUCCAUUUUGUCCAAGUGGGCCGUUAGGUCCUAGUGGUCCAUUUGGUCCUAGUGGUCCAUUUGGUCCGAGAGGACCGUUUGGUCCGAGUGGACCAUUUUGUUCGUAUGGUCCAUUGUUUUGUCCGUUAUUUGGUGCGUAUGACCCACUUGAAGCAUAAGCGUUUGCUUUGGCUAUUUCGGGUCUUUCUAUAACAAUGAUUUCUUCACCGCUUGUAGCAGUAACACUUGCAGAAGCUGAGGAUCCUGGUGCUUCUGGUCCGUAUGGACCUACUUGCCUAUUGUUUAAUCCUUGUGGUCCAUUGUUUGGCCCAUUUUGUCCAAGUGGGCCGUUAGGUCCUAGUGGUCCAUUUGGUCCUAGUGGUCCAUUUGGUCCGAGAGGACCGUUUGGUCCGAGUGGACCAUUUUGUACGUAUGGUCCAUUGUUUUGUCCGUUAUUUGGUCCACUUGUUGAACUUGCUGAAGCAGCGGCUGAAGCAACAGAUGCUCCUGGUCCUUGUGGUCCGUAUGGUCCCUGAAGUCCAUUGUUUGGUCCUUGUGGUCCAUUGCUUGGCCCUUGUGGUCCAUUGUUUGGUCCAUUUUGUCCAAGUGGGC
Long non-coding RNA from Pectinophora gossypiella (pink bollworm), 898 nucleotides. RefSeq lists it as uncharacterized. The transcript has 3 exons. The record is from RefSeq and is a predicted model, not a curated record. NCBI's taxonomy places the organism in Eukaryota, Metazoa, Arthropoda, Insecta, Lepidoptera, Gelechiidae.